This 253-nucleotide ribosomal RNA is filed under the name uncultured bacterium. RNAcentral's name for it is "partial 16S ribosomal RNA". It matches the Rfam family "Bacterial small subunit ribosomal RNA", at positions 524 to 776 of the family's 1533-position model. The record is from RNAcentral.
UACGUAGGGCGCAAGCGUUAUCCGGAAUUAUUGGGCGUAAAGAGCUCGUAGGCGGUUUGUCGCGUCGGCCGUGAAAACUUGGGGCUUAACCCCAAGCCUGCGGUCGAUACGGGCAGACUUGAGUUCGGCAGGGGAGACUGGAAUUCCUGGUGUAGCGGUGAAAUGCGCAGAUAUCAGGAGGAACACCGGUGGCGAAGGCGGGUCUCUGGGCCGAUACUGACGCUGAGGAGCGAAAGCGUGGGGAGCGAACAGG